Molecule: ribosomal RNA, 1204 nt
Filed under: Kumanoa ambigua
Lineage: Eukaryota; Rhodophyta; Florideophyceae; Batrachospermales; Batrachospermaceae
Description: eukaryotic LSU rRNA
Rfam family: Eukaryotic large subunit ribosomal RNA
Source: RNAcentral
UUUAAGCAUAUAACUAAGCGGAGGAAAAGAAACUAACAAGGAUUCCCCUAGUAGCGGCGAGCGAAGCGGGAAAAGCCCAGGAUGAAAAUCUCUUCGGAGAGUUGUAGUCUGAGCGGCCUUGGGCGGUCAGUGUGGGUAAGUCGUCUGGAAUGACGUACCGCGGAGGGUGAGAGUCCCGUCCAGCCCACACAGGACCUGCCCGCACGAGGUCGCUUCAACCGAGUCGGGUAGCUUGGGAAUGCUGCUCUAAAUGGUGGUAAAUCUCAUCAAAGGCUAAAUAUCGGUGGGAGACCGAUAGCGAACAAGUACCGUGAGGGAAAGAUGGAAAGAACUUUGAAAAGAGAGUGAAAAGCGCUUGAAACCGUCACGGGGGAAGCGAAUUGCGUGAGUGGUGGCGCGCACGGUUCAGCUCGCGCGGCCUUUUUUCCCCCUCUUUUGGGGGCGAACUGUCUGCCGAGUGUAUUCUGUGCGUGCCGUGCGUGUGUGGCUGGGCGCGCGUGCGAGGCGCAGAUUUGUUUCUGUGCGGCACGCCGCUCCUGGUGAGGGCUCCCCCGCACGGGGUGAGGACACACGCAAAAUGACGCAAUACGACCCGUCUUGAAACACGGACCAAGGAGUCUAGCACGGCUGCGAGUCGAAGGGUGGCUGAAAAAACCCAGAGGGCGCAGUGAAAGCAAACAUUUGGAAAGCACAUUGGGGAGGCGUUGCGGUUUUACCAAAAUGUCCUACCUCGAGCACCCGUGCUGGGACCCGAAAGAUGGUGAACUAUGCCGGAGUAGGGCAAAGCCAGAGGAAACUCUGGUGGAGGCUCGUAGCGAUGCUGACGUGCAAAUCGCUCGUCGAACUUGGGUAUAGGGGCGAAAGACUAAUCGAACCAUCUAGUAGCUGGUUCCCUCCGAAGUUUCUCUCAGGAUAGCGGGCCGACGACGUGUUGUUCUGUGCGGUAAAGCGAAUGAUUAGUGCAUUUGGGGGCCGAAGGCCUUCAGGCGAUUCUCAAACUUUAAAUGCGCAGGGGGGCGGCUGCUUGAAAACUUUUUGAGCCUGCUCUUGUAAAAACGUCGGCUCCGUGGGCCACUUUUGGUAAGCAGAACUGGCGAUAAGGGAUGAACCUUAAGCGCGGUUAAGGCGCCGCAUUGCCCGCUUAUAGACCCCACAAAAGGUGUUGAUUCAUCCAGACAGCAGGACGGUGGCCAUGGAAGUCGGA